RNAcentral lists this long non-coding RNA (638 nucleotides) under Chloebia gouldiae (Gouldian finch). RNAcentral's name for it is "Erythrura gouldiae (Gouldian finch) lncRNA (ENSEGOG00005002673.1)". Lineage: Eukaryota; Metazoa; Chordata; Aves; Passeriformes; Passeridae. The record is from RNAcentral.
GACUUGUAACACAGUCUGUAACACAAGCAGUUCUUGUCCUUUCUCACCAUUUUUUUGUAGGAUAGAAUAGCACCCAUUACAACCAGACCAUGUGCCAGGUUUGCAAAUGUCUUGAGAAUCUAAAAAUCGUGACCAUCAUCUUCUCCAGUGUGUCAUGGAAGCAGAUGGAGAUGGCCUUCCAAGUCAGCACUAAACCACAGUCCUCGGUGCUCUGAUGGGGGACUCCCAUUUCUCUUCUCUGUCUUGCUUGUAAGAUACACCCACGGACAGAGUGCAGACUCAGCCAGCCUCUUCUGUCAGGACAAAACACCAUCCCCUGGAAAACUUAGGAGAUGCUCGUGCUGCAAGUCCAUGCCUGCAGUUGAUGGUCCCCAUCAAGCCCAGCACAGAGGAGGCCGUGGUCAUACCUGCAUCAAGAGGAAAUGUGAAGGAAACACAGUAUCCACACCUCAUUCCAGAGAGGGAUAAACACAUAUGGUUUGUUUGAAACUGCAACACCAGGUUUAAGGCAAAUGUAACAACAUUAUGCAAUCCUCUUCAAAUACUCUUCUUAUUGCUAUUAAACUUUAUUAAUAUAAGAAUAUAAGUGCUUCAAGGCACUCCUUUUUAGACUUCAAUAAAGUCCUCUUGUAUUAACA